Molecule: long non-coding RNA, 207 nt
Filed under: Panax ginseng (ginseng)
Lineage: Eukaryota; Viridiplantae; Streptophyta; Magnoliopsida; Apiales; Araliaceae
Description: long non-coding RNA (PGIN_LNC009033)
Source: RNAcentral
UUUGAGAGUAUGGAUAGUUUCCUCCAUUUGAAAGACCUUUUUCCUGAUAUCACCGGUGUCUGGAUCUCCUUUGAGAUGGGUGCUUUCAGGGUCUUUGUUGGUUUUAUCCAACUGAGGUUCUGGAUUUGUUUUAUCCAAUCCUUGUGUCCCUCCUUGUGUAGAGGUUUUUGUAUGUGUAGGUAUCUUCGUACCCUGAGUAGAUUGAUG